Drosophila mauritiana is the source of this 3000-nucleotide long non-coding RNA. RefSeq lists it as uncharacterized. The record is from RefSeq and is a predicted model, not a curated record. Lineage: Eukaryota; Metazoa; Arthropoda; Insecta; Diptera; Drosophilidae. The transcript is spliced from 2 exons.
UUGGUUCUCAGAAUAUUGAAGAGUAGAAGUGCUUAAUACUGUCUGAAUUUGCAUAUAGUACUCAGUUAACAUUUUUUGGGUUUUAGUGCGAUUUAAUGCAAUUUGCAUCCCGGAUAUAUUAACACUCCCAGCUCCUCUACACAAUUUCACAAUCAAUUUGCCAUCCACAGAGUUGUCGGUUAUGGCCAAAAGUAUAAGCCAUGACUCAACUCAACAACGCCUCGAAGGUCGACAGCUGGCGACACUUUGGAUGUGGUGCGAGUCUCGCAACGCCGACGGGGAACAUAUUUGGCUUUGAUGGUGCGUGGGCUUUACAACUCAGUUGGCUUGAUUAAAAUGUAGUGUGGCCUGGCCGACGCCAAUUGGCUUAUUACCCAUGAUCCGAGCUAAGACAGGCAAAACAGACCCGGUUUGCAUGCGGUUCUAACAAAUGCCAGUUGCCAGUUGCCAGUUGGCAACAAACAUCGCGCAGAGGCGUUUUGAAAUGACCGUGGGCGGGGACAUGGGAGGCCUUCAACUGCGUCGACUUCUGAGUCCCACACACAAAGAGCUUUUGUAAUUAAAAGCUGAGCUGUUUUCACACUCAAAUGGUGCGUUGAUUGAUAUUCCCGGCUAAUUGCCACAGGCUUGGCUCCAAGUUGUUCCGACUCGGACCAUCCCAAGGCACUUCCUUAAUGGUCACUUACACCAAAUGUCAAGUUCAAGUGGCGGCCCUGGGUUAAAGAAAAAAAGAGAAUAUGGGAGCCGUGUACAAUGAGGCAUUUGAUUGAUGUGAGCCCCUCUCGCCGAUCAUAAUCGUCAUGAGGAUGAGCAUGAUGUUGGUGAUGGUGGUGCGUCAGCAAGAAAAUCGAGGUAGUUCUUUGACUUCUUCGAGUUGCCGGUGCCAAGAACCAAGUUCCAGGCAAUAGAAGUGGAUUAGGACCGUGGAAAGUACGUGACAAAAGCCCUCGUCGUCUGUAAUCUUGCUCACUCAGAACAGAACGAACAGCAGUCGAGUCAAGUUCGUGGUCGCAGUCUUUCGUUUGGCCGACUGCAGCUAAUUGGUGAGCAAAACAGCGAACAAGAGCAAUAAUGUACCGCAGACAACAAAUAACAACGUGUAAUGAACGCAGCUUACAGUUUUUUUCCAGCGAUUUUUUCUCUUAUUUUCCUCUCCACCACUCCGACAUACAUGAAUGAAAACUAAAGUAAAUUGGCCCCCAGUCGUUGGAGUCAUCGUCGUUGUUGUCGGUUCGGGACAUGAACAUCAAGGUGGUCGUGGCCGCUGUCGACUUCAGACAAAAUGCAACUACAGAAAAAAUGAAAAUAAAAGGAAGAAAUAUAUAUAUAUAUAUAGUAUAAAUGCGGCUAUAUGUAUACAGACAAUAAAUUGUUAAAUAGCCGCAGACGCAGAAUGGGCCGGGGCACGGCUUAAAAAUUUAUGCCAUUUUAAAGCGAGAAAUGAAACACGCCCCAAGUGCAUUACAAUAAAUUAUAGAAAUAUGAGUAUGGCAAAAAGUCUCAAAACAGCAACGGAAACCGAGCAGCGGUCGCUCUUUUGGGCCAUGAUCGCCGCCAUCUCUAUUAUAAAGCAAUUAAUGCCGGCAAUGCUGAUUUUAAUAAUUCAUAAAAGGGAAGGGAAAUGAGAGCAUAAUUAGGACGCCCGGGUGGCCCCACGGAUUCUUUGGUCUUCUCGGACUCCCCCUGCAGCAUGGGCACGACUUUGGACAGGGCUCAUUAAAAAUGGCCUGCUAAAAAUAGCAGCAAACAUUUCUGCGCGCCAGAGUGGAGUUGUCCUGCGCCAUCCUCACAUAUUUUCAUAUUAAUUAUCGUGGCCACUUGUACAGCUGUCCGAGUGCAACCUGCUGCUCCGCUCGAAACCCCAAUCCCAGCUCCAUCUCCAGCUCUAAGUAUUCUCUAGGGGCAGAUGCAAAGCACGAUGCGAUGCCCCUGUGCAGAUUUCGCCGAUUGGCCGCCAUUGACUUUUAGCGAUAAUUAACACCUAGGUACUAAACCAAAUUGCAACCGCAGCAUCGGCGUCUGCCAGAUGCGACAAAAGACAAAAACUGGCCAACUCAAAAGGCAGGCAAACUGGACCUUUGCUUAUUGAUUUGCAUUUUUACAAGACUUCUUGUUUGCGGCACUGUUGUCGCUUUUUAUGUCUAGAUUUAGUUAUUUUCGUAUAUUUAAAUCGCUUGUACUCGGGAUGCUUCAAGGUUCCCUCCUUGUAACCAGCCACUGGAUCAGAAGUACAGGCGGCGAUAAUUUAAACAGGAAUGCUGCGACCAGGAUUAGUUGGAAAUAUCGCUUUGAAGUCGAGUCAUAAAUUAAAGCCAACUAAAUAAAUCAAGAUGAAGUGGGGAUAUACAAAGUGGCUUUAACUUGUGGGGUGGAAAUAUAUUAUGGGAUAAAAAACCGGAGUUCUGCAAAUUCAUUCCUAAUGACUGGAUUUCUCGAAGAAAAAAGUUUCAAAUGUAAACGGAAGAAUAAGAAUCCAGAGAGUUGAUGAUAGCGUGAUGACACUAUUUCCUAACUUUUUUCCACCGACAGAUCUUGCUCUCGUCCCACUUUGUUAUUAUAAGAUUUUCGACCAUUUUAAGCUGAAUAAAAUCCGUCGAAUCUUCCACAAGAGUCGGAUAAACUAGCAGUUACGAGACGCUCUUUAACAAAAAACCUAGUCACAUGCCAAAUUUGGCUAAAUUGGCAACACUGAAUGGCAGCUACCGACCUGUCCGGCCAUUUACAAUUACCAACGACCAUCGACUAUCCACCAUCCACAAUCCACCAUCCGCGGCUCAUCCGUCGCGGCAUUACGAUUGCGAUUCCAGUCACAUAGUCGCACAUCUCCGCCUGACUCACGCUGGGCCAUUGUGGCUCGACUUUGGCCCUUUUGGCCAAGAGCGUUGGGGCCAAAUUGUGCUGCGUUAAAUUCAAUCAAUGCAUCAAAUCCACAUGCACAUGCACUCCAUCGCCCACGCGUCCUCCGAAGGAAACCAAAAUCAAAAAAAAAGAAAAAGAAAA